GGCUUUAUAUUCAACUGAUGAUUUUAGAUUGCAAAUCUAAAGGCGUGGAAUAAAAUGAAUUUUCACUAAAGCUU
RNAcentral lists this transfer RNA (74 nucleotides) under Macromia amphigena. Its description in RNAcentral is "tRNA-Cys". Lineage: Eukaryota; Metazoa; Arthropoda; Insecta; Odonata; Macromiidae. The record is from RNAcentral.